GGUUAAGCGAAUAAGCGUACACGGUGGAUGCCUAGGCAAUCAGAGGCGAUGAAGGACGUGCUAAUCUGCGAAAAGCGUCGGUAAGGUGAUAUGAACCGUUAUACCCGACGAUAUCCGAAUGGGGAAACCCAGUAUCCAAUGGAUACUAUCAUUAACUGAAUCCAUAGGUUAAUGAGGCGAACCGGGAGAACUGAAACAUCUCAGUACCCCGAGGAAAAGAAAUCAACCGAGAUUCCCCU
This 239-nucleotide ribosomal RNA is filed under the name Proteus mirabilis. Its description in RNAcentral is "partial 23S ribosomal RNA". It matches the Rfam family "Bacterial large subunit ribosomal RNA", at positions 1 to 241 of the family's 2925-position model. The record is from RNAcentral. Lineage: Bacteria; Pseudomonadati; Pseudomonadota; Gammaproteobacteria; Enterobacterales; Morganellaceae.